RNAcentral lists this unclassified non-coding RNA (1752 nucleotides) under Hevea brasiliensis (rubber tree). The record is from RNAcentral. Lineage: Eukaryota; Viridiplantae; Streptophyta; Magnoliopsida; Malpighiales; Euphorbiaceae.
GUUCCCCCUGCUCUAUGGAGGAAAACAUUCCUCGGCCAGUAGCUUUGUCAACAUUGGAAUUUGGUGGAUUUCUUCUUCUCUCUUCUGAUCUUUUCUCCGGCCACCGGACGUACUGAGCCCUGUCGUUCAUCAAUCGUCUUCCUCCAUCCUAACAAUGAUCGGAAUUUACUGACCCAAAAUUCCCUGACCCGUUAAAGAAAAAGUAAGAGAGAAAUGAAGCUCUCUCUCAAUCUCCCAGAUGAUGACAACAAUGGCAAUCCUAUCCUAAAAGCCAAAUUACCCAUUUCAAUAUUCAAUCAGCCUUUCACUUCUAUCUUCACCACUGCUACAAAUUCAUUUUCAGACCUCCAAUUCUCUGUUUCCACCAAUUUUCCUUCAGGUCCUUCUCUCAAACUCUCCUACUCUCCACCCACCACCACCACCACCACCACUCCAUUUUCUCCUAUCUCUGUAUCUCUAAAGUCAGGUUUAGGNNNUUCGCCUUUGUUUUUCUCUCCCCAUUUCUCCCUCUCUACUGCAAACCCCAUUGCCAUUAUCCCGACUUUCUCCCUCCACUUUAAGCCCCAACUUGGCGAUUUCUCUCUUCACAAAAGCACUGCUUCCUCUUCAGACCCUAACCCUGAUUCUGAUUCUGGGACCCACUUGGUGGAUGUAUCCCAUCUGGAUUCUAGCUCAUCUUCAAAUUUGGAGUUUGGAAAUGUAUAUGUCCCAGACCCAGCUGGGUCAAUGGGUUGGCAGGAAGUGAAAUUGGAGCCAUGUACUGGCAAAGAAAAAGUAGGGUUUGCAAACGAUAACCCAAGUGAUAUUGAUGGGGUUUAUGCUCAUAAUGGAGGAAUAGGCUUUUUGCCUGACAGGCAUUUGGUGUCGCUAACCCAAAUGAUAUUGAUGGGGUUUAUGCUCAUAAUAGUGGAAUUGGCUUUUUGCCUGACAGGCAUUUGGUGUCGGGAGAUAGAAAGAAAGGUGGAUUUACGAGCGGAGUUGCUGUCAAGGCAAGGACAGUGGUUCCGUUAAGCAAAAGGUUAAAGGUGAAUUUGAGGUGGGGUGUGAAUUUGCCAGGUGAUAUGGGACUAAAGAUGCCUUAUUUGACUGUCAAUAAGAUUGGGGUGGAGAGGGUUGAGGAGGUGAAGGAAACAAAAGAAAAGAGCAACGAGAAUAAUAAGGGUGAUUUGGAGUUGUUGAAGGGAAUGUGUUUUUGGAUGAGAAGGGAUUUGGAGAUAAUAGAAAAGGAAAAUAGGGACAUGAAGCAGAUUUUGGAGGACAUGAGAUCAGGAGUCUCGACGAGGAAUUUACGACGAGAGAGUACUGGUGUUGGGAAGAAUUUGGUGCCAGCUUCAAGUGAUAGGUUGGGGGAGUUUAGGCAGUGGAAGAGUAAGAAAAGUGAUGAAGCUAUUGGGCAAACAGAAUUGAAGAAGCCUGCAAAUCCGGUUACUGAUUUGGAAAGUGAGUUGCAGAAGGCUAUAAAAGCUGCUGCUUCUUAACAAGGUUGGAAGUAUUUGUUAUGCUUUACUCUCUUACUUGUUUAGGAUCCGUAUAGUACUGAGCUUUCAGUUUAGGUAAAUCAUGCCACCUCUUUAAACACUGAAUAUUCUGAAUAAGUAGGCUGCCAAGUUUGAUUAAAGUAGUAUGGGCCUGCUUGGAAGGUAUUAGCAAUAGAUGUAUGUUUUCUUAUUCAAAUGCUGAAGCAUUUGAGGGAUAUAAUGGAAUUUAUGCACGUAUAAUUGGUUUAAAGAGGUGGCAUGAUUUACCUAAACU